This 462-nucleotide ribosomal RNA is filed under the name uncultured bacterium. Its description in RNAcentral is "partial 16S ribosomal RNA". It matches the Rfam family "Bacterial small subunit ribosomal RNA", at positions 28 to 507 of the family's 1533-position model. The record is from RNAcentral.
GACGAACGCUGGCGGCGUGCUUAACACAUGCAAGUCGAACGGGAAGGCCCUUCGGGGUACUCGAGUGGCGAACGGGUGAGUAACACGUGGGUGAUCUGCCCUGCACUUUGGGAUAAGCCUGGGAAACUGGGUCUAAUACCGAAUAGGACCACGCGCUUCAUGGUGUGUGGUGGAAAGCUUUUGCGGUGUGGGAUGGGCCCGCGGCCUAUCAGCUUGUUGGUGGGGUAAUGGCCUACCAAGGCGACGACGGGUAGCCGGCCUGAGAGGGUGACCGGCCACACUGGGACUGAGAUACGGCCCAGACUCCUACGGGAGGCAGCAGUGGGGAAUAUUGCACAAUGGGCGCAAGCCUGAUGCAGCGACGCCGCGUGAGGGAUGACGGCCUUCGGGUUGUAAACCUCUUUCAAUAGGGACGAAGCGCAAGUGACGGUACCUAUAGAAGAAGCACCGGCCAACUACGUG